AUGUGAUACAAGCUAAAGCUCAAAGCGUUUGAAAACAAACACAUAAAUGCGUGAGGCGUGACAAGGUUUAUACUCAAUCAUGGCGGUACUCUGGAGACUGUUAGCCAUUCUCAUCAUUUUUUUUAUCAAUCACCCAAGUCCAUCAUAUGGUGCUGUUCUUAAGUUUGAAAGGUCAAAGGUCUUUGAAGAUAUUUUCAAAGUAUCUCCAGGGAGAUUGUUACCUGGAAACAAAAAGCGCCCCCUGGAGGACUGGAUACAAGAGAUCCAGGGCUAUAGAGCAAUUGCUGACCAGAUUAUAGAGAGGUCUGUGCAUGGCCCUGCUGCAAAUCAGUCCUACAACAGACUAGCUACGUUUGUGGACAAGUUUGGCAAUCGACAGGUUGGCUCACAAAACCUAGAGGAUUCCAUAGACUACAUGCUGGACAAACUGAAAGAGGAUGGUCUGAAAAAUGUCCACGGAGAAGAAGUCUGGGUUCCACGCUGGGUGAGGGGACAGGAAUCAGCAGAAAUGCUGUCACCUAGAAGAAAGGAUCUCGCCCUUCUAGGCCUUGGUACUAGUGUGGGAACUCCUGAGAAUGGCAUCCAAUCAGAAGUCAUUGUGGUAAGGUCAUGGGCUGACCUUGAUCAACAUGCGAAGCAGGUGAAGGGGAAGAUUGUGGUGUACAACCAGGAAUGGAUAAGCUAUAGUGUGUCUGUGGACUACCGCAGUAAUGGGGCAGCAAGGGCUGCGGUCUACGGGGCAGUGGCCACACUCAUACGCAGUGUCACCCCUCUGUCCAUCUACAGCCCACACACUGGCAUGCAGGACUACGCAGAUGGUGUCAAGAAGAUUCCAACAGCAUGUAUUACAGUUGAGGAUGCCGAGAUGAUGGACCGAAUGCAGCAGCGAGGUGAGAAGAUUGUGGUGAAACUAAUGAUGGGAGCUCGGAACCUUCCACCAGUCAAAUCAAGGAAUACUGUGGCUGAAGUGGUGGGCAGUACUUAUCCUGAUGAGGUUGUGUUGGUCAGUGGACAUUUGGACAGCUGGGACGUUGGUCAAGGGGCAAUGGAUGAUGGUGGGGGUGCCUUCAUUUCCUGGCAGGCUUUGUCCUUGAUCUCUCAGCUGGGACUCCAACCCAAAAGGACAAUGAGGAUGGUUAUGUGGACAGGAGAGGAAAUCGGAGCUGUCGGAGCUGAAGCUUACUUCCAGGCUCACAAGGAGAACAUCGGUAAAUUUGAUAUGGUAAUGGAGUCAGAUAUUGGAACUUUCCUGCCAUAUGGGAUACAAUUUACUGGUAAUGAAGAAGCUACAAAGAUAAUGAAGUCUGUACUUGACUUACUACAACCGAUCAACGCUACUAAACUAAAACCUGGGGCUGACGGUGAGGACAUUGAUAUGUGGAUGUCUCAUGGUGUACCAGGUUCAAGUCUAUAUUUAGAUACUUCUAAAUACUUUUACUAUCACCACACUAAUGGCGACACAAUGACAGUCCAGAAUCCUGGAGAAAUGAACCUAUGUGCUGCUGUGUGGGCAGUGGUGGCAUUUACAGUGGCAGACAUGGAGGAAAUGUUGCCACGAUAAACCUCCGAUAGUAAGGAUCAUAAGUUGUCAUAGUAACCUGUAGGAUGAUAUUGAAUCACAUGUCACCUAUGUGAUAUAGAAUCACUUGGAUACAAGGUGAUAUAGAAUCACUUGUCACCUAGGUGAUAUUGAAUCACAUGUCACCUUGGUGAUAUAGAAUCACUUGUCUCCUAGAUGAUAUAGAAUCACUUGUCACCUAUGUGAUAUUGAAUCACUUGUCACCUUGGUGAUAUGAUGUCGAAUCAUAUUCUUCAUGUUGAAUCAUACAAUGUCAUGAACUUGAUGUAAAUCACCGGUUGGUUGCCUUGAUGAUGAGGUUGGUAUUGUGAUUUUUCCUAGACUUUCUGUGUAUAUUUUUCUCAUGUUUAUUACAGAAUAUUUUGACCAGAAUUUUAAACUAUACAUUACACAGUCAGGGGUGUUUAUUGUCACUAGUUUGCUGCCCAGGUCUAUGCUCAUGCUUUCUUGAUGUAUCUUUAUAAUUAUAUUUAUAUAUUUAUUUUAUUUAUUCCAAAAACAUCUUAAUCAGAAUUUUACAUUUUUCACAUUUCAUAUAUACAAAUACAGUCUUGAUGAAGCACCUUUUGCAUGAGUCGUACACUUUUAAUGGUGAUGUUAUUCUUAUUUCAAUUUACUUAAACAGCUGGCCUUUCUUGACACGUUUCUACAAUCAGUUUUAUGAAUAAGCAUGACAAUUGUUUUUGUUUUUAAAGUAUUGUCCCAAAAAAAUAACAAUUUUAGUCAACUGAUGAUUGAUUUAUUCCAGUGACGAUUCGUUAGUUUGGGAAGGUUAUGACUUGGUCACUUGUUUGGGUUGUUUUUCAAUGUAUUUCUCUAACAAGUUUUUGUUUGAUGACAUUUCUACCUCCAAACAUUGAUAUUACGGACCCCUGGUUUUUUCCAAAGAGACAUAUCUGAAAAGAAAAUACAUUUCUAGUCUUAAUUUUCAGUGUGCCAGAUACAGUUUUUGUUUUAAAAAAUUACUUACCUAUUUGAAAUAUAAUUAUACCUCACAAAAAACACUUGUAGGGGAUAUUAGAUGGGCUCUAUACAUCAAACUGUUUGUGCAUUCCGAGCAACAGCUCCAAAACCUUCCCACAUAUCCAUGAAACUUUGUACAUCUAUCAGGCUGGAGUCCUGAUACUGCCUUGUGCUAUUAGGAAAUUAUUAUUUUCAAUUCAUUUCCUGUUAUCAUGGAAACAAAUACCCAAAACUACAAAAAUCUUGUUUCUUUGAUUUUCCAGGCCAGAACCUGAAAGUUGUUUCGCAUAUCUCUAUAAAACUUGGUACAUACAUCAGACUUUUGCUCUUGUGUUUUUUCCUAUUUUGGAAUUAUUAUUUUCAAUAUCUUUUCUGAUUCAAUAGAAACAAUGAGCCAAAAAUUCAGUGUGUCCAAUCUUUACCAGACAAUAAGUCUAGAACCAUUAUAAAAGUCAGUGUUUCCAAUCUUUACCAGACAAUAACUCUAGAACCAUUCAGACUAUUCAGUGUUUCCAAUCUUUACCAGACAAUAACUCUAGAACCAUUAUACAAUUCAGUGUUUCCAAUCUUUACCAGACAAUAACUCUAGAACCAUUAUACAAUUCAGUGUUUCCAAUCUUUACCAGACAAUAACUCUAGAACCAUUAUACAAUUCAGUGUUUCCAAUCUUUACCAGACAAUAACUCUAGAACCAUUAUACAAUUCAGUGUUUCCAAUCUUUACCAGACAAUAACUCUAGAACCAUUAUACAAUUCAGUGUUUCCAAUCUUUACCAGACAAUAACUCUAGAACCAUUAUACAAUUCAGUGUUUCCAAUCUUUACCAGACAAUAACUCUAGAACCAUUAUACAAUUCAGUGUUUCCAAUCUUUACCAGACAAUAACUCUAGAACCAUUAUACAAUUCAGUGUUUCCAAUCUUUACCAGACAAUAACUCUAGAACCAUUAUACAAUUCAGUGUUUCCAAUCUUUACCAGACAAUAACUCUAGAACCAUUAUACAAUUCAGUGUUUCCAAUCUUUACCAGACAAUAACUCUAGAACCAUUAUACAAUUCAGUGUUUCCAAUCUUUACCAGACAAUAACUCUAGAACCAUUAUACAAUUCAGUGUUUCCAAUCUUUACCAGACAAUAACUCUAGAACCAUUAUACAAUUCAGUGUUUCCAAUCUUUACCAGACAAUAACUCUAGAACCAUUAUACAAUUCAGUGUUUCCAAUCUUUACCAGACAAUAACUCUAGAACCAUUAUACAAUUCAGUGUUUCCAAUCUUUACCAGACAAUAACUCUAGAACCAUUAUACAAUUCAGUGUUUCUAAUCUUUACCAGACAAUAACUCUAAAACCAUUAUUCAGUUCAGUGUUUCCAAUCUUUACCAGACAAUAACUCUAGAACCAUUAUACAGUUC
This 3947-nucleotide unclassified non-coding RNA is filed under the name Mizuhopecten yessoensis (Yesso scallop). RNAcentral's name for it is "carboxypeptidase Q-like, transcript variant X1". The record is from RNAcentral. Lineage: Eukaryota; Metazoa; Mollusca; Bivalvia; Pectinida; Pectinidae.